This is a long non-coding RNA of Gasterosteus aculeatus aculeatus (three-spined stickleback), 736 nucleotides long. Lineage: Eukaryota; Metazoa; Chordata; Actinopteri; Perciformes; Gasterosteidae. The record is from Ensembl.
GUGAACACUUCCCUAACUGACCUAAUUCCCCCCCCCUUUACUCUACCUCGGGCACGGAUGAGGCCCGCUAACCAAAAGUACAGGGAGUGGUCCGCCCAGGUCUUGCCUAGUGUAUCUAGACAGGUCGGCCCUAGGUAAAACCACUGGUGCAGCGGCCCCCAAACCCUGUUCAUCACCCAGCAGUGCACCCACAGUCUUUUCAUCCCCAGACUCUUCACCUGAGGCCUCACUGCCCUCGUCCAUCCCCUCACAAACCCCCUGGUGAACCAACCCUUUUUUUAUCAACUCUAACAUCUCUGCCUUGAGGGCCUGCCUUGGGACGGAGAUUUUAUAAUGAUCGGCGACGGCGGAUAACUCUGACCUGCGCAUCCCUCCCAGCUGGUCAAGGGAUGGACCUGCUAGAAAAACAGCCAGUGCUGGAGCAGCCAUUCUAGUAGAUACUCACAAACCCCAACGACGGAAAAUAAACACAGAACCAUGAGAGGACAUCAGCGAGCCACCAGAAGCGCUCUGCCAUCAGAUCUGCAGAACCCCUCUCUUCCCCCCCAAAGAUUUACAAUGACAGGUCUUUAUAGACCUGCACCAGCUGCAUCCAAUAAAGAAGGGGAGGAGUCCAGGUUGGUCGAAUCCAAUCGGCUACACCUUGGGUGAAGGGUAGCCAUCUUCCCUGCAGAUUUCCUGUACAUGGAAAGACAGGACACAAACCAACACAAACACCCCCAAAACGUAACACCGG